This 253-nucleotide ribosomal RNA is filed under the name uncultured bacterium. RNAcentral's name for it is "partial 16S ribosomal RNA". It matches the Rfam family "Bacterial small subunit ribosomal RNA", at positions 524 to 776 of the family's 1533-position model. The record is from RNAcentral.
UACAGAGGGUGCAAGCGUUGUUCGGAAUUAUUGGGCGUAAAGCGCGUGUAGGCGGCUUUGCAAGUCGGGUGUGAAAGCCCUCGGCUCAACCGAGGAAGUGCGCCCGAAACUGCAGAGCUUGAGUACCGGAGAGGAUGGCGGAAUUCCCCAAGUAGAGGUGAAAUUCGUAGAUAUGGGGAGGAACACCGGUGGCGAAGGCGGCCAUCUGGACGGAUACUGACGCUGAGACGUGAAAGCGUGGGGAGCAAACAGG